GAUGAAGAACGUAGCGAAAUGCGAUAAGUAAUGUGAAUUCCAGAAUUCAGUGAAUCAUCGAAUCUUUGAACGCACAUUGCGCCCGCCAGCAUUCUGGCGGGCAUGCCUGUUCGAGCGUCAUUUCAACCCUCGAGCCCCCCCGGGGGCCUCGGUGUUGGGGGACGGCACACCAGCCGCCCCCGAAAUGCAGUGGCGACCUCGCCGCAGCCUCCCCUGCGUAGUAGCACACACCUCGCACCGGAGCGCGGAGACGGUCACGCCGUAAAACGCCCAACUUCUUAGAGUUGACCUCGGAUCAGGUAGGAAUACCCGCUGAACUUAAGCAUAUCAAUAAGCGGAGGA
Molecule: unclassified non-coding RNA, 342 nt
Filed under: soil metagenome
Description: partial contains 5.8S ribosomal RNA, internal transcribed spacer 2, and large subunit ribosomal RNA
Rfam family: 5.8S ribosomal RNA (bases 1-120)
Source: RNAcentral